AUGGCCGCUGCGCUGGCGGCUACAGAACAUGGCUCCUUCCUCCCUUCCCUUCCCUUUGUGUGUGUGAGGGCGCCCGCUACCCUGGCGCACGGGCUCAGCCAUUGCAGCCGGGGGAGGGAAGAGAGAAGGAGGGAGGGAGGGAGGGCGGCUGAGGGGGGAGGUGGGGAGCGGGUGGGCGCCGCGGGGGGAGCAGGGGCCGGGGGAGCAGGGGCCGGCGCGCUUCCAGCGCCGUGCCCGAGCCCCGGCGGAGCGGGCAGAGCCCCCCCGAGCUCCCGGCUCCGCAGACUUUUAAACCUUCCCCCCCCACCCCAUUUUUAUUUUAUUUUUUAUUUUUUUUCCCCCUCACGACCUCCUCUUCCUAGAAGGGAAAAGGAAGGGAAGAAGAGGAGAAGAGAGGAGAAGAAGAAAAAAAAAAAAAAAAAAAAGUUCCCCCGAACUGCGCCCCCGCCCGCCCGAGCUCCUCUCUGCUCAGCCGCCGCUCGCCUUGUUUUCUCGCUGGCGGCUGCCGUCAGCCAUGUUACAGCCAGGCGGCUGCGGGGCCAGCGGCUCCACGGCCCCGGCCGCCGGCUCGGCUCCGCCGCCGCCUCCCUCCCGGCCCCUUCCUCGCCCUCCCGCCCGCCCCGCCGCAGCGCCGGCCCCGCCGCGGCUCGGGGUGCCUCUCCCGAGCAGGGCACGGCGCCUCGCCGCCCCGCCUCGCCCCCACCGCCGCGGCGGCGGCCGGGCACUGCCAGCCCCUCGCCCGCCGCCGGCCUCUCCCCACCGAGAGCCGGGCUGGGAAGCAGCGAGCCAGAGGCUGGAGGCUGGGAGGGGGGGGGGGGGGGCGCAGCCUUUGUGCCCGGGCAGCGGUGUCGGUGUGCCGGUGGCGGCGGCAGGCAGAGCCCGGCCCGCUGCGAGCGCGCCCGGCCGGCCCCGCCGCCCCCCCCCCGGGCUCGUACUCACCCGUGUGGGUGCCCGCACGCAGCCCUCGCUCGGCCCCCGGCCCCAGAGACGCCCGCCCGGCCGCUCGCCCCGGCCCCAGCCCCAGCGCUGCCUGGGUCGCUGCGAAGCCCAAUGCACCGCAAUGGCUGUGGGAGCGGGAUCGAUACGCAGCCUCCUCACACUCUCGGCGCUGGUAACAUUACUCUCAACACAGCCCCGCGCCCAUUGGCUGCCGCCAAGCCAGCCGCCUCGCCCAUUGGCCGCGGCCCUUCCAUUGUCCUGACCAGAGGGCCGAGCCGAUUGGGCGCGGCGCGGGACACGUCACCCGGGAGCGAAAGGGCGCGCAAAUAUAAAAGUCAGCGGAGGGAGCCGGCCGCCGGCGGGGCGCGGGAGCCUGGCGGGCGCUGA
This 1326-nucleotide long non-coding RNA is filed under the name Cairina moschata (Muscovy duck). Its description in RNAcentral is "domestica (muscovy Duck (domestic type)) lncRNA (ENSCMMG00000017354.1)". The record is from RNAcentral. Lineage: Eukaryota; Metazoa; Chordata; Aves; Anseriformes; Anatidae.